This 833-nucleotide ribosomal RNA is filed under the name uncultured Bacteroidota bacterium. RNAcentral describes it as "bacterial SSU rRNA". It matches the Rfam family "Bacterial small subunit ribosomal RNA", at positions 60 to 893 of the family's 1533-position model. Lineage: Bacteria; Pseudomonadati; Bacteroidota. The record is from RNAcentral.
AGUCGAGGGGUACGGGGAAGCUUGCUUCCGCCGACGACCGGCGCACGGGUGCGUAACGCGUAUACAAUCUACCUUAUACUGGGGUAUAGCCUUUAGAAAUGAAGAUUAAUCCCCCAUAGUCUCUUAAAGUGGCAUCACUUAAGGAGUAAAGGUUACGGUAUAAGAUGAGUAUGCGUUCUAUUAGUUUGUUGGUGUGGUAACGGCACACCAAGACUACGAUAGAUAGGGGCCCUGAGAGGGGGAUCCCCCACACUGGUACUGAGACACGGACCAGACUCCUACGGGAGGCAGCAGUGAGGAAUAUUGGACAAUGGAGGCAACUCUGAUCCAGCCAUGCCGCGUGCAGGAUGACUGCCCUAUGGGUUGUAAACUGCUUUUAUACAGGAAGAAACUUACACACGUGUGUGUAACUGACGGUACUGUAAGAAUAAGGAUCGGCUAACUCCGUGCCAGCAGCCGCGGUAAUACGGAGGAUCCAAGCGUUAUCCGGAAUCAUUGGGUUUAAAGGGUCCGUAGGUUGAUAAUUAAGUCAGAGGUGAAAUCUUGCAGCUCAACUGUAAAAUUGCCUUUGAUACUGGUUAUCUUGAGUUAUUAUGAAGUAGUUAGAAUAUGUAGUGUAGCGGUGAAAUGCAUAGAUAUUACAUAGAAUACCAAUUGCGAAGGCAGAUUACUAAUAAUCAGCUGACACUGAUGGACGAAAGCGUGGGUAGCGAACAGGAUUAGAUACCCUGGUAGUCCACGCCGUAAACGAUGGUUACUAGCUGUUUGGACCUUGUGUCUGAGUGGCUAAGCGAAAGUGAUAAGUAACCCACCUGGGGAGUACGUUCGCAAGA